GUGUGCGUUGAGAAGGCAAAGGUUAAGACAUAUUUUUCUACUCAGAUAAAGAGUACCUAACCUUCCCUCAGACGAGCUGAGAGUAGAGAGGCCAGGCUUCCUUCCCCUGGGAGAGGUGGUUAAGAAAGGAGCCUCACCUAGACUGCCCUUGCCUCACAUUA
This 161-nucleotide small nucleolar RNA is filed under the name Myotis lucifugus (little brown bat). RNAcentral's name for it is "Small Cajal body specific RNA 21 (ENSMLUG00000021700.1)". It matches the Rfam family "Small Cajal body specific RNA 21", at positions 20 to 140 of the family's 140-position model. Rfam says of the family: scaRNAs are a specific class of small nuclear RNAs which localise to the Cajal bodies and guide the modification of RNA polymerase II transcribed spliceosomal RNAs U1, U2, U4, U5 and U12. ACA68 (SCARNA21) is a member of the H/ACA class of snoRNAs that guide the sites of modification of uridines to pseudouridines. This snoRNA was identified by computational screening and its expression in mouse experimentally verified by Northern blot and primer extension analysis. Lineage: Eukaryota; Metazoa; Chordata; Mammalia; Chiroptera; Vespertilionidae. The record is from RNAcentral.